RNAcentral lists this ribosomal RNA (752 nucleotides) under Desemzia sp. RNAcentral describes it as "bacterial SSU rRNA". It matches the Rfam family "Bacterial small subunit ribosomal RNA", at positions 43 to 777 of the family's 1533-position model. Lineage: Bacteria; Bacillati; Bacillota; Bacilli; Lactobacillales; Carnobacteriaceae. The record is from RNAcentral.
CGUGCCUAAUACAUGCAAGUCGAACGCUUCUAUCGGUGCUUGCACCGGUAAGAAGAGUGGCGGACGGGUGAGUAACACGUGGGUAACCUACCUACAAGCGGGGGAUAACAUUCGGAAACGGAUGCUAAUACCGCAUAGAUCUUCAUGCCUCCUGGCACGAAGAAGAAAGACGGCUUCGGCUGUCACUUGUAGAUGGACCCGCGGCGCAUUAGUUAGUUGGUGAGGUAAUGGCUCACCAAGACGAUGAUGCGUAGCCGACCUGAGAGGGUGAUCGGCCACACUGGGACUGAGACACGGCCCAGACUCCUACGGGAGGCAGCAGUAGGGAAUCUUCCGCAAUGGACGAAAGUCUGACGGAGCAACGCCGCGUGAGUGAAGAAGGUUUUCGGAUCGUAAAACUCUGUUGUUAGAGAAGAACAAGGAUGAGAGUAACUGUUCAUCCCUUGACGGUAUCUAACCAGAAAGCCAUGGCUAACUACGUGCCAGCAGCCGCGGUAAUACGUAGAUGGCAAGCGUUGUCCGGAUUUAUUGGGCGUAAAGCGAGCGCAGGCGGUUCUUUAAGUCUGAUGUGAAAGCCCCUGGCUCAACCAGGGAGGGUCAUUGGAAACUGGAGAACUUGAGUGCAGAAGAGGAAAGUGGAAUUCCAUGUGUAGCGGUGAAAUGCGUAGAUAUAUGGAGGAACACCAGUGGCGAAGGCGACUUUCUGGUCUGUAACUGACGCUGAGGCUCGAAAGCAUGGGGAGCAAACAGGA